UCUCUGGUGGCUCAGAGGAUAAAGCGUCUGCCUGCAAAGCAGGAAACCCGGGUUCAAUCCCUGAGUUGGGAA
Molecule: transfer RNA, 72 nt
Filed under: Bos taurus (domestic cattle)
Lineage: Eukaryota; Metazoa; Chordata; Mammalia; Artiodactyla; Bovidae
Also listed under: 5 other names
Rfam family: tRNA
About the family: Transfer RNA (tRNA) molecules are approximately 80 nucleotides in length. Their secondary structure includes four short double-helical elements and three loops (D, anti-codon, and T loops).
Source: Rfam by way of RNAcentral